Molecule: ribosomal RNA, 531 nt
Filed under: uncultured bacterium
Lineage: Bacteria
Description: bacterial SSU rRNA
Rfam family: Bacterial small subunit ribosomal RNA
Source: RNAcentral
AAUAGAUACCCGGGUAGUCCACGCCGUAAACGAUGAGUGCUAAGUGUUAGGGGGUUUCCGCCCCUUAGUGCUGCAGCUAACGCAUUAAGCACUCCGCCUGGGGAGUACGGUCGCAAGACUGAAACUCAAAGGAAUUGACGGGGGCCCGCACAAGCGGUGGAGCAUGUGGUUUAAUUCGAAGCAGCGCGAAGAACCUUACCAGGUCUUGACAUCCCGCUGACCGCUAUGGAGACAUAGCUUUCCCUUCGGGGACAGCGGUGACAGGUGGUGCAUGGUUGUCGUCAGCUCGUGUCGUGAGAUGUUGGGUUAAGUCCCGCAACGAGCGCAACCCUUGUCCUUAGUUGCCAUCAUUCAGUUGGGCACUCUAAGGAGACUGCCGUACAAAUACGGAGGAAGGUGGGGAUGACGUCAAAUCAUCAUGCCCCUUAUGACCUGGGCUACACACGUGCUACAAUGGACGGUACAAACGGUUGCGAAGUCGCGAGACGGAGCCAAUCCGAGAAAGCCGUUCUCAGUUCGGAUUGCAGGCUG